UGGGUUUGAACUGGUUUGAUUGGAACUGCAGUAUUGUCGGAUAAGAGGAAGAGAACAACGUACGACGCGGGAUUAUAUGAUUUUGUUCAAGAAGAGGAUGAGGGCUUCUCUGAUUUUCUGCAAGAAAUGAUGUCUCUAAUGGCUGAGGUUAGGAGAGAGGACAAGAUUUACACAAUGGAAGAAUUGCAGAGCAUGUUAAUGGAAAUGGCCAAAGGUUUUGAGUAUCCAUCGGAGCGGUCUUAUUCCCCUCAGUGCCAGUGGCCUUCUUCAUACGAGUCUUUCCAAUGGGGUUGUGCGCCGUUGAAGUUUGAUGACUCUGGAAGUAGUUCAAAGAAAGCUCGAUGUGAUGCAAAUCCAGCAGUGGCUGCAACCAGAACCAGCUCACAUUUACAAAUGUCGGGUUUUGGGAUGUACGGGACAAACUAUUUUUGUAAUUAAUCAGUCAGUACAGUACCCUGUCCAUCUGUCAAUGUAAAGGAUUGAUCAUCCAUCAUGCUAUGGCAUAGGGUGUCACCAGAACAGAAGAACAGUUUUCCUUGUUCUUUCUGGAUUUAGAUGGUAAAUGUUCAGUUGAGAUGGUUACACCCAUUGUGGAAAUUUGUCAGCAUUUUGGGCUUUUGUGAGUGGUGGCUGUGAUGAAUUAUUGUAAAUCUGAUUAUGGAAUUUUUAUUACGGGCUAUUGAAAUUUGGAUCAUGCGAAUAAUUGGCAAUCUUUUCAAAGGUGAAAAGAAGGUUCAUUACA
This is a non-coding RNA of Camellia sinensis, 742 nucleotides long. The record is from RefSeq and is a predicted model, not a curated record. NCBI's taxonomy places the organism in Eukaryota, Viridiplantae, Streptophyta, Magnoliopsida, Ericales, Theaceae.